AAUUUUCGACAAUGGGGGACACCCUCAUCCACCCAUCCCGCGUGUAUGAUGAAGGCCUUCGGGUGGUAGAGUACCUCUGGCAGAGAAGAAAAGGUAUCUCCUAAUACGAUAUACUGCUGACGGUAUCUGCAGACUCAGCACCGGCUAACUACGUGCCGGCAGCCGCGGUAAUACGGAGGGUGCAAGCGUUAAUCGGAAUUACUGGGCGUAAAGCGUGUGUAGGCGGUGCGGAAAGAAAGAUGGGAAAUCCCAGGGCUCAACCUUGGAACUGCAUUUUUAACUGCCGAGCUAGAGUAUGUCAGAGGGGGGUAGAAUUCCACGUGUAGCAGUGAAAUGCGUAGAUAUGUGGAGGAAUACCGAUGGCGAAGGCAGCCCCCUGGGAUAAUACUGACGCUCAGACACGAAAGCGUGGGGAGCAAACAGG
This 424-nucleotide ribosomal RNA is filed under the name uncultured bacterium. RNAcentral describes it as "partial 16S ribosomal RNA". It matches the Rfam family "Bacterial small subunit ribosomal RNA", at positions 360 to 776 of the family's 1533-position model. The record is from RNAcentral.